This 23613-nucleotide long non-coding RNA is filed under the name Eucalyptus grandis. RNAcentral describes it as "long non-coding RNA (EGRA_LNC000750)". Lineage: Eukaryota; Viridiplantae; Streptophyta; Magnoliopsida; Myrtales; Myrtaceae. The record is from RNAcentral.
GCAAGGUCUUGGCAAGAAAGAGUAUUGGAUUUAUUUCCACUGCAGUGAAUAUGUUGUGGUGACGAGGAGAUUGAGAACGGAAUGUUCCUUAUGAACCUUUCCUCUUCCAGACCAUUGCGCACUAUCUUCUUGUGCUAAGAAAAUGGAAGCCUGAACUACAAAGUUAGGAGGUCUCUGAUGUGAAAACUGUUGUCUAGGCUAAGCUGCAGAGCGUUCCUCUGUAUCUUCUGACAUUGGAGGGAGGUCUUGACGGCUUUUUCAAGAGUGAGAAAGGCUUAAGGCAGGUCAAUCCUUUAUUGCAUAUUUUUGUUAUGGUGAUGGAGGUUUUCCCAGAACUGUUCAAUAAUUCUGCAAGUCAUGGCAAAUCAAAAUACCAUUCUCAGUGCUCUAAGGGGAAACUUGCCGACGAUUUGAUGAUAUCUUCCAAAGGGGAUAUGGAUUCUUGAAUGAAACUAUUGACUUUGUUUCAGAGACUUAAGCACACGUCAGGUCUUAGUAUUAAUCCCCUUAAGACAGAGAUAUAUAUGUAGCUGGUAUUAAGUGGCAGCUAGUGGAUGAUAUACAUCUCUUGGUGGCUUGGCCAAAUGCCAGUUAGAUACCUUGGCCUUCCCCUAAUUUUGGGAAGGUUAAGAGAAGAGUGUAAGCCUUUGGUGGACAAGAUUACUUUUCGAGUGAGUCCCUGGACAAUAAGGCAACUCCGUUGCGCUGAAAGAUUGCAACUCAUUGAGGAAGUAACAGCUUGGUGAAUUUUUGGAGUCAAAUUUUUUUGUUGUCAAAAAAGUUAGCGAUAUUAUGGAAAGCGAGUGUAUUGCCUACCUUUGGAAGGAAAAAUCUGAAAACGCUCGAGGUUCAAAAGUUGCUUGGAUGAUGCAUGUCUCCCUAACUUUAAGGGUGGAUUAGGAUUUGAGGAAACUGGGGCCUUGAAAUCUUGCUUGUCUAUUGAAGAACUUACGGAGAUUCUGUUGCAGGCUGGAUCCAUUUGGGUGGCCUGGCUUAGCUGUUUCUUGAUUAAAGGGCGGUCAACUUGGGCAGUGAAUCCAACUGGCGGGAGCAGCAAUGCUUGGAGAAAGUUUACUUGAAGCAAUGUAAAUUAGUAUAUAAUAUAUAGUUUCAUUUAAAAUUAAUAAUUGAAAAUUUGACGGAGAAAUGCUGUGCGUAAUUGUAAUUUGCACUGCAAAGCAUAGCUUGAGUGGUCACUUUUCUUCUUGUCCCUUAUAAAACUCGACCUCACUUACGACGUGGUUUCAAGAAGACUUUUUGAGAUUUCUAAUUCUCAUGUCUUACAUAUAAUGGAUGAUGAGACUGGAAAAAUGCAAAGUCAAGUUUUUCAAAUUAUGAUAUGGGAAAUCUAUUCUCAACUUUUCACCACCAAUAUAAGAAGAUUACUAGAAACCUACUAGACUAGAUCUUUGCUAGAAAUGCAUCCCCUUUUAAGGCAUGAAUGAUAAUCAUUUUGUUUUUUUGUUCUUGAGAGUAGGUUUUGGAAUAGAAAUCUGUUUAGUGACAUAAUUUCAUUUUUUUAUCUUUAGGACAAAUUUUUAGCCUGGAAAUAAAUUUGGAACAAAUAUGAAAAGUAGAAAAUGGGAACAAAAUAAAAACCUCUUUUUAUCACUCGUCCUCAUCGCCACCCUCCAUCAGCCGUCACCAUCCUCCGCCGGUCGCUUGCCCUCCACCAGCUACUAGUCACCACCUUCCACUCAUCACCCACCUGUCAGCCAGCAAUUGUUGCCCUUCACCGGCCGCCACCAAGAAAUUAAUUUAUAUAAAAAAAGUUUUAAUUCGAAAACAUAAAUUCUGCGUCAUUAUCAAAUGUAUAUCUUUACUCAGAAACUCAUCUAAACAAAAAAUUAUUUCCGAGAACAAAAUGAUUAUGAUUUGUGCCAUUAGUAAACUCGAAUUUAAUCGGAACAAAUCAGAACGCAGUCGAAUCUGAAUGGGUUUCAUAGGUAAGUUGAAAGACAAAAAGGUCAACGUCCCCGAGAAAUGUCAGUGGGAGGCAAUUUUCGCUGAGCAAACCUAAAAUGCAGUCAUUCACUUCGUCUCAGUUGCUCUCAGCUCACCUGUGACAUGGCUGUUGGACGAUGACCACAUACGUCUCACGUUCCACGUUGCGCCCGAUGGACAGUGCUUUUUCUUCUUCUUUUCCUUUGUUUUCUUACUUUUCUUUUCUUUUUCUUUUGUUUUUACUUGCUUUUUUACGAAUCCUUUAUAGAGGAUCAACAUCCAAUAGAUCAUCAUGGUAAUCUAGAGGAGAGUUUCCAUAUCAAAAGGUGGAAAACACAUUGCAUUGAAACGGUCGUUCGCCCCUCUUCUCCAUUCCCAUCAAGAUCUACUUCGUACACCACUGAAAAUUAGUCCACAAAAUGAUAAGAAAUUGCAUGGCGAAGAUUUCGCAAAGAUAAAAUCGACAUUAAAACCGGAAAAAGGAGCCAAAUGCUAAUGUUCCCACAAAUAUGAGAGCUCACCAUUAGGGAUGGGCAUGGGGGCGAGUCCAAUGCGGCGAACUAGGGACCUGUGCCAUCCCUGUCCCCUUCCCCACGGGGGGCAGGGCGGUUCGCCGGCGGUUCACGAGCGGAAAGGGCGGCAGAGAGUAAGAUAGAGAGAGACGGUGUAUUAACACAGUGCCAAAAAUGUUGCUUUAAUUCCCACUAGUAUCCGUGCAUUUAAACAGAGCGGGAGGUACACUCAAGUCAACGCUCAGCGAGCCAAACCAACAUUGUCCUUAACAUUUUUCGUAGCGAGCCAAACCAACAAGCACCGACGCCCAUUUCACCUAAAUUUAUAAAUUCGUUCAUCUCAAUAAGAACUUACUAGAAAUGUGAACCCGCUUAGAACAACAACAGAUGAUAACUUUUGUCCCAAAAGAUAAUGUAAGUGAAAGAAAGUUAGUAGAGCUGACAAGUGCCACAAUAGAUGGAGUAUGAAUAACGACAUGCACUUUGAGAUCGAUUUACAAUUGGUUUUGAAUUAUGAAGGUUUGACGAAUCGCGUAGACGUGAAAGGAAUGAGAAGAGAUAAGGUCAAUAGUGGGGAUUUUAAGGACAAUGUUGGUUUGGCUCGCCCAGAGCUUAAUGGAUAAUUAGCGAGGUACACUCAAGUCAACGCUCUAAAGUCAAACCUGAAAUUGAAUGCACCGCAAAAAACUAAAGGGCCAUUUGAGGAACUAAAGAAUGGACUAAUCAGCAUGAGUUUGAAGAGUAGCUUGGUCAACUUCGACAAACUCAGCGACCCAGGCCUUUGAGGAUGUCCUCGAUGGUGCCAUCGUCGGUCUUGGCAAACUCGACGUGCUUCUUGCAGUACUCGAUCAGCAUUGAAGUACGAUCGCAAUCUGAGGAACCAUGCUCACCACUGCGAAUGCACACCAAUGGGAGAGGCAAGGACACAAAUGCAGUCGAUGAGGAAGAUCACCCUUGGAAGCUCCGACGGUGAUCCAUUCGAGGUAAGUGAGGAUGGGGCCGACGAGUCACAGACGAUCAAGCACAUAUACUCACCCUCUUUAUUCACAAUUGUGGCUGAUGUUUUAUCCCAUAUACUCAACAAUGCUCUGUAGGUGGGUUAGUGUCACGCAAUUAAGCUAAAAAAGGAGUGCCCUGAGCCCACCUUCUCUUUAAAUAUGACUCCCUAUUGUUACUUGUUGCUAACCCUGUUUGAACUGCAGACGUUUGAAAAAGAUUCUUGGCUGUAUUGUAUGGCUCAAGGCAGAGGAUUAUGUUGCAAAAAUCCAGUAUAUGCUUCAGUCCUAGCACGGGUGCUAUAUGGGUCCUGAAAAGAACAGUCCAGGGAAUCAAUAUUAUUCAGAACCCUGGUAACUAUUUGGGUCUACCUAUUCUAUGAGGUAGAUCUAAACGUGAAGCUCUUGGCUUUGUGGAGGAAAAAGUCUUGAAAAGAAUGCCGAGCUGGAAAACUAAAUUGGUCUCACAAGCUAGUAGGGAGAUUAUGGUAAAAACAGUGGCUUAUGCAGUACCAACUUAUUCCGUUGUCUUAUUUCAAGUUUCCAAAGAAGUGGCUUGAGGUCGUUGAUGCAGCUAUAGCCAAUUUUUGGUGGGGGUAAGCAGAAUAAUGAAGGGAAAGUGCAUUGGGAGAAUAGGGAAAGCUUAACUGAAGCAAAAUUAGAAUGAGGCUUGGGUUUUAGAAAAUUUUCACAGUUUAACAUAACCCUCCUUGCUAAGCUUGCUCGGAGAAUCCAAAGCAACCCCUCAGAAUUCUGGGUGCAAAUAUUUCAAGCGCUCUACUUUCCCCUUUGUAGCUUCAUGGAAGUCAAAAGAGGUGGCAGAAUGUCUUGGGGAUGGAGUAUAGUUUUGGAGGGAGAGGUCUGAUUAAGGAAGGUGGGUUAUGGUAAAUUGCUGAUGGGAAGUCGGUCAAAGUUGGGGAGGAUAGGUUGGUGAAGGAGAGUUGAGACUUGAUGCUUAUCCUCUAAUCCGACUCAGGUGAAAAAGUAAUUAAGAAUGGAGUCUCUAACUGGUGCAGAUACUAGGACUUGGAACUUGACCCCCAUUAAAGACAUCAUACGGCAGGAGGAGCAGUGAUCGGUGUUGAGAAAUCUCAUAAGGUGGAGAAGUUCCGAUGACCAACGAUUUGGCCCCGGAACAGGAGUGGUGGUUCUCCAGUAAAGUCUCUACCACUUUACUAUGCAGAAAAGAAAGAAACAUCCAAGCCUAGACCUCAAACUCUCAUACUAUUGAUGGUAUAGUUUGGAAAUUAGCACGGGUGUUGACUCUCCUCCCACGAUAAGACACUUCCAUUGGCAACUUUGCUUGAAUGUUAUGUCUGCUGCUGCUAAUCCGUGCAAAAGAAAAGAAUAAAGUUUCUCUUGCUUGUGUUCUGUUUUGAGAUUAUAUCUGUUGAGCAUUUAUACUCAAUUGCUUAAAGUUGAAAAUCCAAAAAACGAAAUGAUUCAGAUAGCCAAAGGACUCAUCAUUUGUUUAAAUUUGGAAAAAAGAAGAAGAAGAAAAGAACAGAAAGAAAAUCAAACUUUUACAUGAAAAGUCAGUGCAACUCAGCAGCAAAAUUGUGUUGCUAUGCAAAGUUGUCUCCAACUAAAAUUUAGAGAAAGAUAAAUAUUUCUCACAAAAGAGUGGAUGGUAAGCAAGAUGGAAACUUUCUAGAGUUUCACCUCCAAGAGUGAUAAUCCGAUCAAUGACACCUCUCCUUCAUGGAUGGGCUUGUUUUCUAAUUUGAAGUGCUCGUUUUGCAUGCCAAUAGAUUUCAUUGAGCCAUAAAACAGCCCAAAGCUCAUUACCAAUUUCAUACAUAUCUUCGUUUGGUGAUAUCUAAUGUUAGUAACUCUCAAUGUUCAUCGUAAUUUCCCUAGACUUUGCUAUACCCAUCAAUUUACGUUCAUUAACUUGGUGGUGAGAAUAUGUAAGAUUUUGUGUCAUGGACAUAUUACAUCCGUUGUGAGUGUAAGAUAGGCUAUGGUACCAUUGAAUUAGUUUGUGCUAGUUGACACACAAGUUUUCGCUCGAGUCUUCUCGUUCAAUUAAGAAAAUUUGAGAUCAAAUUCGAUGGAGUUUGACCCCCGAAGCAAAAAUAUUGAUAUUGCAUAGUCUUGCCUUUGCAAUUCCCAACUCCAUUUCUUCACAUUUAAAUAUUAAAGACAUUUAAAUUUUGGGUAUAAAGUGCUCACGUCAAAAAAAACAUGGAUCAAAGAGUUUCUUUGGGAUUGGCUCGAUGGAUGGUCUAAUAUGCAAAAAAUGAGUCCCGAAAUCCCUUGAGGUUCCAGAAUCAAGCCCGCGCGAGACCGGCCUUAAGCGAAUCAAACUAGGCCUAAUGAAUGGAAAGGAAGCGCGGCCAUCUAAGGACAAUAAGGGAAACUCAAAUCGGCCAACACCCAUUUUCGAAGCCCACGCAUGGUUGGAAGGUCUUAUUCAGCUGCACACGUCGAAAUUGGAAGAAAAGGCAAAGGAGAAUCAACGAAGGAAAGGGGCGUGCAGUUUCCACCUUGACAAAGGGAGCAAUCUCGGCAUUCAGGGACCCAAAUUCAUCGCCAAAAGAAAGCAAGAAAAUCUGAGCACAAGAAAGCAGGGGAUUCUCCGCCAAGAGGGACGGGGGAUUUUUCAGCAUUUAAUCAUUGCCAAAGAGAGCCCGAAAAAGAAAAAAAGGAAAAGGAAAAGGAUGAAGCUUUUUCAUCACGGCCGAGAAAGAGAAACGCAGAGAGGGUUUCGGUCAACAAAAGAGAGAAGACUAAAAGAAAAAAGGAACAGAGAAGUGGUCGGCAAAAGAAGAGAAAAAGAGAAACAUAGGAGGCAGAUUCUCGUGGAGGAGGUGGAAAGAAAAAAGAGGACACAGAGAGAGAGCUGUUGGGGCACGCGUGAGGAAGCAACAGAGAGCGAAAGAUGCAAUUUCCCGUUUAAUUUCCACGAAGUUCACCUUUCCUCGACACUUUAAUUUCAGAGAAAUUUACUCCUCGCAGUCAAAUUUCUCCAUCAUUUCAUUUAAAGUCUGGCGCACCUUGCACUUGGGAAAAGCCAAAAAUGAAAUCAUUUUAGCACUGUUUUGAAGUUGACCGAUUUUUGUUCAAGUUAGAAUUAAAGUGUGAAAACCCAUUUUAUCUAGAGAAGGGGUGUGUAAAAGUGACCAGUUUGGGAACUUUGUAAGAGUCACCGUUGUCAAGAGCCACCCUCUUCAAAGGAAACUCAUUUUAUGAAGAGUACUCGCGCGUUCCAUGGACAAAGUUCACUUGGCAUCUAACUGUCAUUUCCAGGGACAAGCAUUUCCUAAACAAUUUUGUAACCACGUGAAACUGUUUAUCCAACUCUUCUUUGUAACAUUCAACCAUCAAAUCCAAAUACCUUCAGAAGAGGAAGACCGUGUUUUCUCUCUUCCACGCCUACAACAACCAAAGAUAUUUACAAUCAAUUUUUCUUGCCAUGAACCAAAUUAAAAUGCCAGCUUUGAAUUCCCCUCUCCUCGUUUUAGAUUGCCAAUCUUGGUUAUGCUAAUUAUAUUUUAAGCGACAAAUACUUCCACAUAUCAAUUUCAACUCCUUUAAAACCUUUGAUGAGAGACUAGCGUUAGGAUUACAUGUAUUGCAUAUUCGUGUGUUCACAUUCGUGGAUAGUGACAUGUAUUUACUCAUUUUUUUCAAUUUAAAAGAAAAAAAAAACUAUAACUACAAAACAAUAACAUAACAACGUAUUUACUAGAUCAAUAUGAAUUAUUUACAAUCGAUAGACAAAUCGAAGAGUUUGAUGUCUAUCGAAUUUACAUGGCGUUGCUGAACAUCUAGAUUUCUUUAAAUACCUAAAAGAAGCUAUGCAAACCCAUACCGAGUCUCAUUGUAAAACACAAGUUUUAAUACAAUUAUUAUAUUGAGAUUGGUUCUCUCUGUCGCAUAAAUAGAUUUUAUACAAUAUCAAUCCAAAAAUUCGCCAGCUAAGCAAAGCAAAGAUGAUGGAAGACUUUGACUUUAUGUCCCUUGCCAGUCUUUUUCUUUUGACUUUUUCAUUCAAGUAACUUUUGUCGGCCUUUGCCUUACCUCUUUCUUUGGUUGGGAGAAAAGAAUAGGAAAAUUCAAGGAAGCAAGCAAAGAUGGUAGAAGACUUUGAUUUGUUUUCCCUCACCUUACGCUGGGAAGUAGAUUAUCUAACAACCAUGAUUUGAGAGGUGCGUGCGUCCUAGGCAAUUAACCAUUAGGAUUAAUUUAAAUAUGAGUACUCAUCGCCUCCUCUCCCGACCUAUGCGAUAAGUAACUUUAAAUUAGAAAAGGUAAUUUUCUGCCUGUCUAUUGUUAGUAAAUCUCAAUGUUGAUAGUCAUUGUUCAUUCAACAAAAUAAGCUUAACCAUUUACGUAACUAGUACUUUAUAAGCCAACUUUUAACAUAGAAAAAGGUAACACAACUUCAUAUGGUUAGUAAAUGGUUAGUAACUCAUUAAUUUGACUUGUAAUAUAUAUAUACAUGAUUAGUUUUUCUUAUAUACAUUGAAGUAACUUUCCCUACAUCUGUGUGUCAGUAACUUUUCACAAGAUUGCAUUGAAAUUUUUGGAGAUGCAAGUGACAUCCGGGCUAGAGUUUAUGACUUUGCACUAAAUUUUGUUUUGAUCCAUUCAUGAUAAAAAAAAAAAACAUCAAUAAUACUUAGAUCAUUAAUUUACUACACUCCAUCCAAUCAUUUUAGUAUAUGUACAUUCAAGCAAACGGAAAUUUAUUUUCCACCUUUUAAAUGGAAACAAGUAAAGUUAUUGUCAAGAUUUAUAUUUAAUGAAACUGCUGGUCCUUGAAAUUUUAUUUGAAUGUGUCCAUGUCAUAUCUAAUUCAACAAUCGAUUCAAUUACAUCCUUAAAUAUUUGUCUAAUGUGCGCCAUGAUCUUAUCUCUUAAUUGAUUAUGUUCCUGACCUUUUUGAAUAUGUUCAACAUUGUCUCAUUUUAGUAAUUAGAAGGACAAAUCCGUACAAUGUCACUUUCUAGUCUUUUGCUCGUCAAGAACAAAUGGUUUGUUCUUUACUUUCUACAAGCUUUAGCUACUAAUGUUGAUCCGGCUCCUAACACUUCCAACAUGUGAGAAUCACAGUUAAACAUUAUUUAGUAGGAUGCAUUUUUAGUUCCGAGGAUGAAGCUUCGGAAAGCUACCUAGAGGAACAGUAUAUUGGCCCAUACACUUCUAUGCUUUCAUUUAACUUAUUUUUCUGUAAACUAAGGCAAUAAAGUAAUUAUACAAAAUUAGUAUGAUUAGUAACUCAUUUUAUAUUAAAAAAAUGCAUCUACCUAUUAGUAACUAGUAAUCUGGACGCGUAAGUUUCGAGAGUGGGUUGCGACUCCCACGCCCUCAGGGCACAAGUCUGCGAGUGAGUGUAGAGUAGGCAUAGAGUAGGACUGACAAAAAAAAAAAACUUAUUUUUCUGUAUAAAAAAGCAAUAAAGUGAUUAUACAAAAUUAAUAUGAUUAGUAACUCAAUUUAUAUAUAACAAAAAUUUCCAUCUACCUAUUAGUAACUAGUAAUUUUUCUAUGCAAUAAAUAAUUAUGGAAUAAAAAAAGGUAAUUUUCUGCCGAGUGUUAGUAAGUCAUACUAUUCAUAGUAAUUUUUCUAGACUUUGCUAUACACAUCAACUCAUGUUUGUUAUCUUAUUGGACUACAUAAGAUUUUAAAUAGUGGAUAUAUUACACUUGGUGUGAGUGUUAUGCCACUGUUAAACUAGAUUGUACCAAUUGACACCUAAAUUUUCAUUAGAAGACUUCCAUUCAUUUGAUAAGAAAAUUGGAGAUUGAAUUCAACAAAGUUUGACCCCUAAACAAAAAUGUCAAUCUUGCAUGGUCAUGCAUUCGUAAUUCUCACUUCGUUUCUUCGCAUUUAGAUAUCGGGGACAUUUUAAUUUUGGGCAUGAAGUAUUCACAUCGAGCAAAGCAUGGUUCCAUCUGUGAGUUUUCUUGGAAGUGGCCCAAUAGAUGGCUCCAUAUGCAAAAAUGAGUCCUAAACUCACUUGAGGUGCCAAAACCGAGUCCGCGUGAGUCCAGUGACUCCAGCCCCCAAGCUGUAAUCGAACUCAGCCGAAUGGAGGGAUUGGAAGCGUGGCCAUUCAAGGGCAACAAGGGAAAUUUUAAUCGGCCAAUACCCAUUUUCGUGGCCAAUUCCAGUCUGAACUUAUAAGAUGGAAGGUCUUGUUCAGUUGCUGUACGCGUCCAAAUGGAAGAAAAGGCAAAGGAGAAUCAAAAGGAGGAAAAGGGGCGUGUAAUUUCCAUCUUGACAAAGGGAGCAAUCUCGGCAUUCACGGACUGGAAUUCACGGCCAAAAAAACAAAAAAUCUGGGCAUAGAAAAGCAGAGGAUUCUCGGCCAAGUGGGGCAGCGAUUUUUCAGCGUUUAAUCAUUUCCAAAGAUAUCUUGAAAAGGAAAAGGAAAAGGGUGGAGCUUUUUCUGCACGGCCAAGAAAGAGAAACACAGAGAGGAGAAAAUAUUCAGUGGAAUGUUUCUCCAAGGGGAGGGUUUCGGUUAAGUAGAGAGAGAAGACUAGAAGGAAAAAAAGAACAGAGAAGUGGUCAGCAAAAGAAAAGAAAAAUAAGAACAGAGCAAAAGACGCAGUUUCCGUUUAAUUUCCUCGAAGUUCACUUAUCCUCUGCACUUUAAUUUCCGAGAAUUUUACUCCUCGCAGUUAAAUUUCUCCAUCAUUUCAUUUUAAAGCCCAUCGCACCUUGCACCUGGAAAAAGCCAAAAACAAAAUCAUGUUUAGCACUGUUUUGGAGUUGACAGACUUUUGUUCAAGUUGAAAGUGAAGUGUGAAAACCCAUUUUAUUUAAAGAAGAGGCGUGUAAAGGUGACCGCGUUGGGAACUUUGCAAGAGUCACCGUUGUCAAGAGCCACCCUCUUUAAAGGAAACUUAUUUUGUGAAGAAUACUCGCACAUUUGAUGGACAAGGAUCACUCUGCAUCAAACUGUCAUUUCCAAAAUACUUGACAAGAAUUUCCUGAACAAUUAAGUGACCGCAUACUCUUCUUCAUAACAUUCAAUCAUCAAAUCCAAGUACCUAGUAUUACUGUGGAAGAGGAAGAUAUUUACAAUUAAUUUCUCUUGCUGUGAACCACAAUUAAAUUCCAGCUCCGAAUUUCCCCCUCCUAAUUCUAAAAACAAGAUAUGUUUGACAUCAAAUCAAACUCUUAAAAGUUGAAAAAGAGGAAAAGCCUGAAGUCAAUGUAAAGAAACAUCCAUUUAUCUGAUAGGAUUAUGAGCCGAAAACCUCCUUUCAAAUUGAUGCCUAAUAACUGUUUUAUGUCCUUUGGACCAUGAAUAUCUAACAGUAAUAUUGGAUUAAAAACAUUAAUUCAUAAAACAAUGUUGCAACUUGUUAGAUAUAUUUGUAAUGGACUCAUCUGCAAAUUACCUAAUCAUUCACACAUGCAUUGGAUUACAUGUAUGUUGUAUAUGGUCCAAUUUUGUCUAGAAUCAUGAAAUUGUGUAUCUAUUCUACUCUAUAUUAGUUUAGGUUCUAUAUAAAUGAUUGCAACUACUUGUGUAGUGCAUUCUGAUGAUGUACAAAGACCUUCGGUUUAUCAGUCUCUCACCAACAUAACCAUUCAAUCGAAACUCGCCACCAUCCACUUAGACAGUCUCCGCCAUGACCCAUUUUCAAAGACUUUGAAUCCUAAAAUCACGUUGUUGAAUCAACCUCAACUACAACUCAACUCCAAUAUGGACGAAAAGCUCACAUGUCGGGACGACACAACUCAAUCCAAAUCUUUGCCUUCGUAGCUUGCCACCCUUUGGUGCUUAUUUCUCAAUGAACCACCCAUCAGACAAGUGACCCUCCUCCAAGUUGAACACUAGAAACCAGUUUUGCUGGAAUUGAUCCCACAGCCAAAUGUCUUGUACCAAAGUCGUUCUUCGGUUUUAUUAAAAGGGGCUAGUAUUUUGCAUCAACUCCACACAGAUGAUAUCUCAUGCAAAGAGGAAUCGAACUCCUUUGAUUUAAACAACACUAUACAAUUCCGGGCUAAGUUGGAUUUUUUGAUUUAAACAACACUAUACAAUUCCGGGCUAAGUUGGAUUUUAAUCAAUAACAAAGCCCAAAAGUUACGAGAUCAGUCUCAAACUAUGUCGGAAUUCAAUCGAGAACAUAAAUUGAGGAUACUGAGAUACAAUGUCAGAAUUCAAUCGAUGAUGAAGCAAGAUAAAGAUACACAUUGGAAUCUAAUCGACAACGCGAAUUCGAGAGUUAUAUAGCUAAGGAAAUUUAAAAUACAAUGUAGGAAAAGUAAAGAUAACUAAGAGAUAACAUUUUGUUUUACUUGUAUGAGGAGUCUUCUUGUUGGAUAGCUAGUGGUAUUUAUAUUGAAAGUGUAGUAACUUCUCCUCGACUAUGCUUAGUGGCUGUAUUUCUAAUGUAAAUAUCUAAAAACUUGUGAUCGGCAUAAGUAGAGCAACUAGGGGAGUAGAUGGAUUUUAUGAAUAAGGACAAAGAUAAAAAUUUGGUAAACUUUAUUACAUGGCCAAUCUUGGCUAUGUUGAUAUAUAUUUAAAGCAACAGAUAGCUUUCACAUAUCAACUUCGACUUUCUUCAAACCCUUGAUGAGAGACUAUUGUUAACAUUACAUGUAUUGCGUAUUCGCACACACACAUUCAUGAAAAGUAUAAUUACAAAACAAUAACAUUUCCAUGUAUGCUAUUUGAUACAUAUGAGUUAUUUAGAAUUAAUAAACAAGUUGAAGAGUAUGAUGUAUACUGAAUUUAUGUAACAUUAUCGGAUAUCUAGAUUUUCUUAAAAUAUUUAAGAAAACCGUGCAGACCCCAUAUUAAAUCCCAUAGUUAAACACAAAUUCCAGUAUAAUUAUUAAAUUAUUAUCGAUUUUCUCCGUAGCAUCGGUUACAAACCGUGCAAGGCGGUGGAAGACUUUUGGUUUGCUUUCACUCGUCGGAGCCUUUCUUUUCCACUUCUCUUUCGAGAGGAUUUUGUCAGCUUUUCUUUUUUCCAGCUAAAAAGCAAGAUGAUGAAAGACUUUUUGACUUACUUUCUCUCGUCGUUGAGUGGUCCUCGAUGAUGGGGACACCCUCAUUUCAUGUGCCCUUCCUUCACGUUCUCCUUUUCUGGGCCCCGCUGGUUGUGUGACAAUGUUUGACUUGGAAGCAGGCAUUCGGAUCGAACGGCUGAGGAUGAUUCCAUCUGGAGCAGGAUGGAUUAGAGUGGGCCAUCGGGCGAUUAAGGCCGGGAUCGAGGCAUGCUUAGAUGCAACUCUCACAUUUCGCGAUUUAUUACCACUAAUCCAUGACAAUGGCACUUUCGUAAUAGUAUUGUUAAACGUGACUUUCUUCUCUUCUGCACUGCUUUUUCUCUCUCUCUCUUUCUCACUCUGCGCGGAGCUCUCAUUCUUUGAAUUCUCACGCAUUCACGCACUCCCUUGGCCUUUUCAACUCUCUCGCUCUUCGCUCUGCUGGAAAACAUGGCGUUUUCCGGCGAACGCCGACCUCUCGACUGCUCUCUCCCUCCCGAGCUCACCUGCGAGACUCCCUGCCCCACCCUCAAGCUCUACUUCCUCAUUGGAAUCCUCAGCCUCUCCGCGCUCUCCAUCGCUCUCCUCAUAUACCUCUGCGUCUUUCUCAGUCGGACCUCAAAGAAGCGCGAAGUGCCAGCAAAAGGGACGAAUUCUCGGGAAUCAGUUGGACCUUCCUACGAGGUUUUUCUAAGUUUUCAUGGACGAGACACCCGUCAUGGAUUUACCGAUUUUCUUUACCAUGGCAUGGUUGAGGCCGGGAUCCUCGUCUUUAGGGAUAAUGAAUCCCUCCAUGUCGGUCAAAGAAUUGGCGAUGAACUUCUACAAGCCAUCCGAAACUCCAAGAUCUACAUUCCCAUAUUCUCCAAGAAUUAUGCGUCGAGCCACUGGUGCCUUCGAGAGCUUACACACAUGGUUGAGUGUGCCUCCAAGUCGAAUGGGAAUAAAGAGAUUUUGCCCAUUUUCUUGGAUGUGGAGCCUGAUGAUGUCAAGCUGAAAACAAACUUAUACAGCAAAGCCCUUUCAAAGCAUCAGAAAAAGUUUUGCACUGAAGUUGAAUCAUGGAAAAAGGCUCUUGUUAAUUUGGACAAGAUAAAGGGAUGGAACUUGAAAACAGAUGAAAGGUAAAUGUCUAAAACUUUUCAACUUGUCAUCCAUAGAUUUCCUUUUCUUCCCAAGUUAGUUUAAUUAUGGUAUCAUUGGUGAAAAUAUAGUUUAUUCAUCUCACCAAUCCUAUCUUGUGUAACUUGUGGUCGUGGCCGUUGUCACUGCUGCUAUCGGCCUCAGUGGCCGAUAUCGGCUCUAUCGUGGGCUUUGAUGGUUCUAUUGCGGUGGUAGUUGACCCUAUUCAUCCUAGUUUUGUUUCUCCUCACACACUUGGUCUCCAAUACAAUAGCCACGAACAGUAAUAAAAAUCUGAGUAGUUCCACCAAGCCACCGACCAGCCAUUGCAGCAGCUCGACGGUCAUUCGCCGUCACUUCUUCGUCGCCGGCUGGCACCAAGCUGCCAGAAGCCGCCGUUGAGCCAUGCGGCCCCCACCAUUUCUCCCUUUGACUCACUGUGAUGAGUCGGAUUUGUGCUCAGGAGGCCAUUUCCGACAUCACAAAGCCCAUAUCCGGAGUCGCCGACCUUCGGUAACCCCAAAUCUGGUGUUGCCCAAGGCCGGUGACACCAUCCUUGGCGGUCGCAAGGCCACGACCCACAUGAUGAGGAUUGAGGCAAGGCCUAGACGGGCAGGUCAAUAGGGCUCGAUGGGCAACGGCGCUGGAACGUGACAGGGAUGGCCCGGGGAGGUGAGUGAUGUCAACGACGGCGAGGUAGUGGCAGGGGCCAAUGGUGUGGUGACUGAAAUUUGGGGAGCGGAGAUAGAAUGGGAAAAAUCCAGAUUGUUCUGGUGCCUAAAUUAUUUUGCGCUUUUUCUUCAAAUCGUAAAUAUAAAAUUUAUUCUAACACGGUUGUUACAUUUUGGCAGCCAAGUAAAUCUGAAGCGAUCAAUAAUUCAAACAGUGUUGACUAAGUUGAACAUCGGAUUUAAAAAAAAUGUGACCGAAGAUCUAGUUGGAGUUGAUGAUCAUGUAGAAGCUAUAAUCAAAAUGUUGCAUGUGGAAUCCAAUAAUGUACAAUUCCUCGGAAUCCAUGGAAUGGGUGGGAUUGGCAAAACUACACUUGCCAAGGUCAUCUUUAACCGACUAUCUUCUAGUUUUUAUGAAUGCAAUUUCCUUUCAGACAUUGGAGAAUCAUCACGACGCCAUGGUAUGGUAGAUUUGCAAAAACAGUUGCUAUCCAAGUACAUUGAUUUUGAAGUGGUUCUCAAGCGAAUUCAUGAUGUGGAUGAUGGGAUCAACAUGAUUAAGAGAGUACUUUGCAAUAAAAAAGUUCUCAUUGUUCUUGAUGACGUGGAUGAGAAAAAACAACUUAAAAAUUUAGCAGGAAAAGAUAAUUGGUUCGGUUUCGGUAGUAGGAUUAUCAUAACUACUAGGGACCAAAGUGUCCUAACCACACUUGGAGAAGCAACAGAUGAAGGCUUUGCAAAUAUUUCGGCUUACGAAGUAGGUGAAAUGGAAUUUGAUCAUGCUCUUAAGCUUUUCAGUAGGCAUGCCUUUAGAAGAGACUCUCCAUUAGAUCAGUAUAUUUCCCUUUCCGAAAAAAUUGUCCAUACUUUGGGAAAACUUCCUUUAGCUCUUGAAGUUAUAGGUUCAUUCCUUUCCGAUAAAUCUAAAGCAUUAUGGGAAGACACAUUGAAUAAGCUAAAAGAGGCUCCUCCUAAGGAAGUCCAAAAGAAGUUGAUGAUAACUUAUGAAAGGUUAGAUGAUGUACAAAAGCAAGUAUUUUUGGAUAUAGCUUGCUUUUUUAUUGGUUGUUGUAAAGAAUACCCUUCUUACAUGUGGGAUGCUUGUGGAUAUUACCCGCACAAUGCCCUUGAAGUCCUCGUUCUCAUGUCCUUGAUAAAAAUCAAGGAUGACAAUACUUUUUGGAUGCAUGACCAAGUGCGGGAUCUCGGAAGGGACAUUGUUAGAAAAGAAAAUUUUGAUGAUCCCUGCAAGCGCAGCAGAGUGUGGAGUUCUAAGCAUGUGCUAAGCAUUUUGAAGCAGAAAGAGGUAUGAGAAUGGAACAAUAAUUUAUUUUCUUGUGAUUUUAUUCUUGUAAAAAGAAAAAAUAAAUCAAUAUUAACACUUGAAAUUGUUUGCUUUUGACCUUCACAUGUGGACUUCGUGUUGCCAUUGUCAGGGGAGAAGGGAAAUUAAAGCGAUGUCGUUUGCAUAUUCUGAAGAUUCUAAAAAUGGUGAUUUAUUCGAGGCUGAUGAAUUUGCCAAUCUAGAAAAGCUAAGGUUCUUUCAAGGACAUCAGAUAUCCUUUGUUGGAGACUUCAAUAAUCUUCUUUCCAACUUAAAAUGGCUUUGUUGCUAUGGCCACUCAGUCAUGUUUGAGGCAAAAAACUUUCAUCCAACUAAUUUAGUCGUUUUUAACCUUUCAAUGAGCAACAUUUCGGAAAAAGAUAUUGAUUGGAUCAAAGUACGAUACGAACCCCACUCCUUGUAUUCGUAAAUCGUUUCUUUUCAUUUUUUUUUGUAGGUGGUUCCUCAAUAAAUAUUUUAUCAAAUUGUUUUGCAGGCGGUAAGGAAAUUGAAAGUCCUAGAUGUCAACUCCUGCAAUUACUUAAGGAGAACACCUGAUUUAUCCACAUUGGCGUCUUUGGAGAUCCUAAGAAUAACAUAUUGUGAAAUUUUGGAAAGUAUCGAUUGGAUUGAGGUACGAUACGAGUCUCACUCCUUGUAUUCAUAAAUGAUUUAUUUUUAUAUUUUUUUGUAGGUCAUUUCUCAAUAAAUAUUAUUGUUUUGCAGGGGCCAAGGGAAAUAAAAGUCUUAGAUCUCAGCGGCUGCCAAUACUUAAGGAGAGUGCCUGAUUUAUCUAUGUUGGUGUCUUUGGAGAUUUUGAGAUUACAUUAUUGUUCAAAGAUAAAGAAACUUCCAGACUCGAUUGGGAAAUUACAAUCAUUAAUCAAGUUGGAUUUGUUAUAAACGAAUAUUGAUCACCUACCGGAUUCAUUCAGCAAUCUAAAGCAACUGACAACACUUAGGAUGAUGGACAUUAAGGGAGGGUUGACAAAAUUACCUAGUGCGAUCUGGUUUGUUCAGUUUGUGGCUUAUUCUUUUUCGUCCCACGAUAAUGAGCUGUACUGUUUGAAAAUGCCAGACUUGUCAUGGACCCAAAUAUUUGGAUUACCCACCGUGGCGAGUCUCGUCUCUAAUAUCCGUGAACUUCGGAUGGACGCGUGGUAUAGCAGACGGCCCAACUUUUACACCCUUGAACUUGAUAAGCCGGAGAAUGUCAAUUUUUAUCGCGAGUCCCUCGAGCGUAGCAAAUCUCAGAGGGAAAAACAAAUAUUGGCCUCCCCAAACAUGCGGUUCCUCCUUCAGCUCCCGUCUAGUUUAAGAGACUCAGUAUUUCGAGAAGUGCGGAAUCUGGGUUUCUGUCGUUAUUGGAUGCCGAUAUUCGUUGGUAUAUGUGAUUCGGAGUUGGAGAAACUCCUUCUGCAGGAUUCCACGCUUUCAAGACGGAUUGAACAGUGUUGGCUGAGAAACAGGAAAUUCCCGUCCAGAUACCGUCGGAGGAUUCGUCGACAGCGGCAUCAGCCCACAAAAGCACUUGAGCCGUCGCAUAUUAAGAAUCUGCAAGAGGUUGAUCUGUUCGAAUGCGAGCUACUAGUCGAGAUUCGCGGCCUCGAAGAAUUGGGAUACCUUUCAUCCCUUGCGGUCGCAUAUUGUAGGUCGAUCGAAAGGAUGCCAGACCUAUCGAAAUCGAGGAAGCUAAGGGAGCUUCGAGUGGGAAAAUGUCCGAAGCUAAGAAGCAUGGAAGGUUUGGAACGCUUGGAAUCUCUAAAGUGUUUGCGGAUUCACGAUUGCAGGUCUUUGGAGAGUCUGGUGGACACCUCGAAUUUGGAUUUAGAAUGUUGCCUGAUUGUCCGUUGCAAGCGGUUGCCCGACUGUCGCAAUUAUUGUAAACGUGGCCGGGAUUGCUAUUGUGAGAUGCUUUUCGAGGGGUUAUGGAAAUCUGACCCGAUGGAAGUCCAGCAAGUAUUACAGGGACACCCGGAUGUUGCGCCAGUAAGGAAUUUAGAACGUGGCUUGGUUGUUGUGCUUGGUGUAGCCAUUUUGUUUGUUUUGUUGUUGUUUUGUUUUUUUGUUCUAUGAAAAAGGCUUUCUCCCGGACAAAUAUUGGUGAUGAAGCUAUGGAAGUGAACGAGGCACGCUCAUAUGAUGCCAAAACAUUGUCCAAUUUUGAUCAGCUCUUGAACAUAGUACUCAGUUCAUUGAUUGCUGUCCAUGAUUUCCAUUCUAUUCCUCCUUUUGUCUUUGUUAUAGAUGAGUUUCAACUCAAACGAGUGUGGUCGAACCCUGUUUUUCUCUCGCUUGUUUUGUUUGAAACGGAGAAACUGAACACAGAACGUGAAAAUCUCGCAGCGAGAGAUGGGGGAAGGGCUAGAGAGAUAGAGAGAGAGGGAGAGAGAGGGUGGUUGGAGUUUCUCUCGGCUUCUUACAAGAGAGAGAGAGAGAGAGGAGGGGGGGAUUUGUCUGCGUUGCGUGGUGACUGUCUGAUAAGAGGGGGGGCGUCGAGUUGUUCGAGGUCAGCGAGGCUGUGGCGGUCGAGUCGCAGACGGUCAAGCACAUAUACUAACACUUUUUAUUCACAAUUGUGGCUUUAUGUUUUAUCCCAUAUGCUGUAGGAGGGUUGGCUUUUAGGAAUUAAGCUUAAAAAGGAGUGCCCUGAGCCCACAUUCUCUUUACUUAUGACUCCCUAUUCUUUCUUGUUACUAACCCUGAUUGAACUGCAGAUGUUCGAAAAAGAUUCUUGACUGUAUUGCACUGCUCGAUCCCCAGGAUUAUCUUGCAAAAUUCCAGUAUAUGAUUCAGUCCUGACACGGGUGCAGAGUUCAUAACAGAGGUACGCACCGUCCAGGGAAUGAAUGGUAUUCAGAACUCUGGUAACUAUAUGGGUCUACCUAUUCUAUGGGGGUAGAUCCAAACAAGAAGCUCUUGGCUUUUUUAAGGAUAGAGUCUUGACAAGGAUGCCUAGCUGAAAAUCUAAAUUGUUGUCACAAGCUGGUAGAGAGUAUAGGUAAAAACAGUGGCUUAUGCUGUACAAACUUACUCCAUGUCUUGUUUCAAGUUUCCAAAGAAGUGGCAUGAAGAAGUGGAUGCAGCUAUAGCCAAUUUUUGGUUGGGAAAGCUUAACCGAAGCAAAGUUAGAAUGAGUCUUUAGUUUAUCACAGUUUGACAGAACCCUCCUUGCUAAGCUUGCUUGAAGAGUCCAAAGCAACCCCUCAGAAUUCUGGGUGCAAAUAUUUCAAGCGCUCUACCCUUUGUAGCUUUGUGGAAGUUAGAAGAGGUGGCAGAAUGUCUUGGGGAUGGAGUAGAGUUUUGGAAGGAGAGAUCUAAUUAAGGAAGGCAUGUUAUAAAAAAUUGCUAAUGGGAAAUCAGUCAAAGUUGGGGAGGAUAGGUUGGUGAAGGAGAGUUGAGACUUGAUGCUGCAUCCUUCAAUCUGACUCAGGGGAUAAAGGAAUUAAGAAUGGAGUCUCUAAUUGAUUCAGAUACUAAGACUUGGAACUUAAACCCCAUUAAAGACAGCAUGUGGUAGGAGGAGCAGUGAUUGGUGUUGAGAAAUCACAUAAGGUUGAGAAGUUCAGAUGACCAAAUGAUUUGGCCCUGGAACAGGAUUGGUUGUUCUUCAGUAAAGUCUCUACCACUUUACCAUGCAGAAAAGAAAGAAACAUCUACUAAAGCCUAGAUCCUCAAGCUCUCAUACUAUUGAUGGUAUAAAUUGGAAGUUAGCACAGGGAGUUGACUCUCCUCAAGACAAGACACUUCCUCUAGCAACUUUGCUUGAAUGUUGUGCCUGCUGCUGCUACAUGUGCAAAAGAAAAAAAUAUAGUUUCUCCUGGCGACGGUGCCCUUAAGAGUUUGUGCCAACAAACUUUCAUCUGACUAAUUUAGUCGUUCUUGACCUUUCAGAUAGCGAUGUUUCAGAGAAAUGGAUUGGCUGGAAUCAAAUCAUAAUAUAGUACGAAUCUUACUCCUUACAUACAUGUAUCAUUACUUGUCGUUUUUUUUUUUCCUGCAAAUAAUUUCUUAGUAUAUAUUUUGUUUUGCAGGUGGCAAGUAAACUAGAAGUACUAGAUCUCAACAAUUGCGAAUACUUAAUGAGAACACCUUAUUUAUCUAUGUCAGCGUCCUUGGAGAGAUUGAAUCUUGAAGGUUUUCACAACUUAAUUGAAAUUGACCCAUCCAUUGGUAAAUUAAAGCUCCUAACUGCUUUGAACCUGAAGGGAUGUGACUCUUUUGAAGAGUUACCUGAAGAGAUAGGAUAUCUACAAGCUUUAACAGAGAUUGUCAUGCCUAAUACACUACAUGAACUUUCGAAGAGAUUUGGUAAUUUGUGGUCACUGUUGACCUUUGAUGUAUCGCAUAAGCAGAUUAGCAAACUGCCAUACUCGAUCGGAGAGCUAGUGAAACUUAGGCGGUUGGAUUUAUCAGGGUGUACAAAGAUAGAGGAACUUCCAGACUCAAGUUUGGAAAGUACAAUCCUUAGUUGAGUUGGAUUUGUCAUUGAUAAUAUUUGUGGACCUUAAAAAGACUUAAAGAUUGACAAGUUUCUUCUGUUAUGUGCAUUGAACAAGAAGCACCACCCUCCAUUUUUUAGUGAUGAAGAAUGGCGUUUCGAUAAAAUAGCCAAAGACGGCACUCUACGCAAGCACAUGACUUGAGAGGAAUCGCCACUGUUGCAGAAAAAAGAAUAAGGGAAGCACAGGCAGUUUGCGACUGCAUUUUGUUACCAAAUUACUGGCAACCAUCUUCACUAGCAGUCAGAUAAGCACCGGGGAUGGUGCUCCUCUGAGGAUCGAACUAGUAGAUGGCAGGACCAAUGAGAGGGUUAUGAGUGGCCCUCUAUCUUCCGUAAAGCUCAAAAUUGUCAUCCUUGAUGGCGAUUUUGGGUCAGACGAGGGAGAGGAUUGGACCGAGAAGGAAUUCAAUUACAAUAUCAUUUGUGAAAGGGAAGGGAGAAGGCCAUUGAUAACCGGGGAGGUGACUGUGAUCUUGCAAGGGGGAAUUGGUUGCCUUCGUAAUUUAAUCAUCACUGACAGCUCGAGCUGGAUGAGAAGUCGAGAAAUGAGCUCGAGCUGUUCAAAAGGUUUCUGCAGAAAUAAGAAUAAGUGAGGUGAGAAGUGAAACUUUCAUUGUUAAAUAUCAUCGAGGAGAGUAUAAGUUUGCAAUGCCUAUCAUUUUACAAUAACAAUUUAAUUCCAAUCAUCAACUCUGUAUGUGGACCAUAGAAAGAUUGAUUGACAAGUUUUCUCUGUUAUGCGCAGUGAACAAGAAGCACUAUCCACAAUCACUGAGCGACGAAGUAUGGCAUUUGCAGAAAAUAGCCAAAGACAGCACUCUGCACAAGUGCAUGACUUCGAGAGGAAUCAACACUGUUUCCUCCAGCUGUACGAAGUGGAUGCGUCUUUCUAAGAAACAAAGUGACUCUUACUCUUCGAGCACUACUAAUUUCCCUUUUUUCCAGUUCACGUUAUUCUAAGCAUUGUUCAAUAUCAAAUCGUGCUACUUCUUUUGUGUGCGAUGUUAUUUCAGGUACUUGGAAAUGGGAUCACCAAGCGGACAUGGGAUAUGAUCGUCAGACACGCCAGCCCCUGUGUGGUCAACGAUGACAACAUGUAUUUCUACCAAGCUUUGAACAAGGCCAGUAUAGUGUUCAAUUCAGUCAUGAAAGUUGCUCAAGCAGCACUCGAUGGCCAAAUUUACCAGUCGGUAGACAUAUUGGCCCACUCUCAGAAGGUACAUGAAUCAUAACCCGAAACAUCUCUAUCUAGUAGCUGAGUGUGAAUCUAUCUGGACCUAUAGAAAGGGCCUGUAUUUAUCGGAUUAGUCUGCUUCCAUGGCAGAAUAUAUACCGCAAGCACUUCUCUUAAAAAAGUACCUGUUUGAUUUUGGACUUGAUUGAACCUGCUGCUCGGUUGACAGAUUUUGUUGCAGAACUUGAAAUGGCUAGCUUACAAUAACAACAAUCAAUGGUGGCGCUCGAUGCCCUGCCCAGCGUCUCUCUUCUGAGAGCCCCAACUAAUUUGCCUACAGAGCCGUCAAUUGGCCUGAGCCUGCCUCUUCAUCAUCUAUUUUACACAGAGCUAAACCAAGGUAUUGUGGUAUUACAUCACUUCCAUCUAUCUUUUCCUUUUUGGCCUCCUUAAUCUUUCACAGUUCAGUGUUCCCAUUUCUUUAUUGGCACAUCCACCUUUUUGCACGUCUAUGGUAGCUGAAACUGAAAUGCAUCAUUAUUCAGAUAGACCAGAAGUGACUCCUGAAUUUAGUUACUCACUGGUUUCAGCAUCGUGCUGCUACAAUGUCACAGAGAUCAGGCAAUUAGGUUGUCUGGGGCCACAGUCAUAUCACUGCAAAAAUCUUUGAUCCGACUGUAAUUCAACGGCUUGGCAAGGGAGGACUUUUUGUCCAGUUUGAGUGCUGGCGAAAGCAGUCAUCUUCCCGGUUACACACGAUCGUUUGCGCCGAACAUCCAUUUGUCUCCUGACGAGCUUUUCCAAGUGCCAUCUUCAAUCCCUGGCAAUUUAAUGUGGCACCGGAGCAUACUUCCAUCAUUGAGUCGAGCAGCAGGGCAGAUUUUGGGAUCUGCCCAUCUCGCACGGGUUAUCGAGUCCAUAAUUCUAGGAUUGCAAGACCCAAGGUGGCAUGGUACAAGAUCUGUGAUGUGAUGAAGUGGGGAUUGGUUUGGCGCGUUGUGGCUGCAAAGAGAAGAGCAAUGUUCAAUUGUGCAAGUUAUCCAGCUGUAUAAAUGGAGAGUCCCAUCCCCCAAAAGAGUUUUCGGUGCUUCAGGAGCGCGAAGCUCUCGCCCACACAAGCCAGUCAUCACAUGCGAAGUAUAAAAAAGAAGGAAAUUCAUGAUACUUGAUGCGAGGAGAAUGUCUUGGGGGUAUGAGAAUGUCUAGUUCUAGGGGUAAGCUGCCCAGGAUGCAUCAGCAACUUAUAUUAUGCAUGAUCACUGCGAUUUUCUCUAUUGUUUUUUUGUUGAUUGUCCUUUCAUAUUUGAAUGAAGUUGUGCACCAUCAAGAUGGGGCUGCCGAUUGGACAUGUCUUCUCCCUAUGGGUCACGCAAGCUGAUCUUAGGAAGUACCUCAAUACAGGGGUUCUUCCUCAAGAAUUGUAAGGCUUUUGCUCUCUUCUUCAAGAAUUGUUUGGCAUUCUGUUUGUCCCAAAUACAUCAUCCCUUGAUUUGUCAGUUUACUGUUCUGAUAUGCUUAGUAGACUUUUCUUUGCUUUACAAAAUUUGUGAGUAUAUUACUUAGUUUGCGAGAUCCAAAGUUUCUCCUGUCAGCUUUGCUCUUUUUGAUCUGAAAUAUUAUAUGGUAACCAUUAGUCACAAAGCCCACAAUCUUGACGGUAUAUAGAAAAGGUUCUUCUAUCGCCAAUGUGGGACCUUGUUUUCCAUGUAACAUUCCACCGAGUUCCUGUAGGCUUGGAUCUAAGACCGCUUCGAGACUAUUCCAGAGAAUAUUUCUGGGCGAGAAAAGAGAUGAAUUUUUCUCUUUCUAAAUUGUGCAGUUUUGCUUUCAUCUGCGAAAAAUUGAAAUGGAAACAAUUCAUCUUCAUCAUUGAAAAUAUGCAAGACGUGCAAAGUUUCCCAUUUGAUCAAUGAAAAGUGCUUAUUUGAUUGUGAUAGUGAGUUCUAACAGAAGAAAUAGGAAGAGAACCAGAAAGGUAUCCUUGGGCAAAAAGUAAGAUCCGAAUAUGAACUCGUAUAGAAAAGAGCAUAUCGGCAAUCUAGGACGUUACACAUGAUGUACCACAUACCUAAAAAUGUCGAUGGUGUUAAGCAUGUUUUAGUUCCUAAAUCUGUCAUAGAUAACAGCACUGAAAAAUGGAAUUCUUCUCUUGUAGGGCAAGGUCUUGGCAAGAAAGAGUAUUGGAUUUAUUUCUGCUACGGUGAAUAUGCUGUGGGGACAAGAGGAGAUUGAGAACGGAAUGUUCCUUAUGAACUUUUCCUCUUCCAGAACAUUGCGCACUAUCUUCUUGUGCUAAGAAAAUGGAAGCUUGAACUGCAAAGUUAGGAGGUCUCUGAUGUGAAAACUGUUGUCUAGGCUAAGCUACAGAGCGUUCCUCUGUAUCUUCUGACAUUGAAGGGAGG